RNAcentral lists this ribosomal RNA (496 nucleotides) under uncultured bacterium. RNAcentral's name for it is "partial 16S ribosomal RNA". It matches the Rfam family "Bacterial small subunit ribosomal RNA", at positions 28 to 506 of the family's 1533-position model. The record is from RNAcentral.
GAUGAACGCUGGCGGCGUGCCUAAUACAUGCAAGUCGAGCGAACGGACGAGAAGCUUGCUUCUCUGAUGUUAGCGGCGGACGGGUGAGUAACACGUGGAUAACCUACCUAUAAGACUGGGAUAACUUCGGGAAACCGUAGCUAAUACCGGAUAAUAUUUUGAACCGCAUGGUUCAAAAGUGAAAGACGGUCUUGCUGUCACUUAUAGAUGGAUCCGCGCUGCAUUAGCUAGUUGGUAAGGUAACGGCUUACCAAGGCAACGAUGCAUAGCCGACCUGAGAGGGUGAUCGGCCACACUGGAACUGAGACACGGUCCAGACUCCUACGGGAGGCAGCAGUAGGGAAGCUUCCGCAAUGGGCGAAAGCCUGACGGAGCAACGCCGCGUGAGUGAUGAAGGUCUUCGGAUCGUAAAACGCUGUUAUUAGGGAAGAACAUAUGUGUAAGUAACUGUGCACAUCUGGACGGUACCUAAUCAGAAAGCCACGGCUAACUACGU